GGACUGAGUCCAACACUGUAUAUCCGGUGGUCAUCCCAUUGCUCAUCCUCUUGCUCAUCAUCAUCAUUAUUGUCAUCAUCAUCAUCUUCAGAAAGAAAGGAGGCUUUUCACAGCAAAUCGAGCUGACCACAUUUUCGAGAAGGAAUGAUCCAGGUUCGUCCCAAGAUUGAACAGACCAAGCAGCUGUCUUGUCGAGAUAUUCUCCAGUCAUCGACAUGUUGAAAGAUUUGAGAAGAGAAUCCCUGUCUGUGAGGCAGAAAUACACAUCUCCAGAGGUCUGCAGAAGCUGUUUGCAUUGGCAGUGUCUUUGGAAUUCAAGCAAAAAAUCCGAUGUGCCUGUAAUACAUCUAAUCAUCUCAGGGUUUCAUGAAGGCAUUUUUCGUUAAAAUGAUCAUUGAGCUACAAAAUUACAAUUCUUUAAUUUUUUUU
Long non-coding RNA from Stegostoma tigrinum, 429 nucleotides. RefSeq lists it as uncharacterized. The record is from RefSeq and is a predicted model, not a curated record. NCBI's taxonomy places the organism in Eukaryota, Metazoa, Chordata, Chondrichthyes, Orectolobiformes, Stegostomatidae. The transcript has 4 exons.